CCCGAGGAAAAGAAAUCAACCGAGAUUCCCCCAGUAGCGGGGAGCGAACGGGGAGCAGCCCAGAGUCAACAUCAAUAUUUACCGCAGGAGAAGGGUCUGGAAAGGCCGGCAACAAAGGGUGAUAGCCCCCCGUAUCUGAAACGGUAAGUGUUGUGAACUCGAAGAGUAGGGCGGGACACGUGUUAUCCUGUUUGAAUAUGGGGGGACCAUCCUCCAAGGCUAAAUACUCCUGACUGACCGAUAGUGAACCAGUACCGUGAGGAAAAGGUAAAAAAACCCCGGCAAGGGGAGUAAAAUAAAACCUGAAACUCUGUACUUACAACCAGUGGGAGCACCCGAAAGGGUGUGACUGCGUACCUUUUUUAUAUGCGUACCUUUUGUAUAAAAGGUCAGCGACUUAUAUUCUGUAGCACGGUUAACCGGAUAGAGAAGCCGUAGGGAAACCGACUCUUAACUGGGCGUUAAGUUCCAGGGUAUAGACCCGAAACCCGGUGAUCUAGCCAUGGGCAGGUUGAAGGUUGGGUAACACUAACUGGAGGACCA
RNAcentral lists this ribosomal RNA (543 nucleotides) under Arsenophonus sp. RNAcentral describes it as "bacterial LSU rRNA". It matches the Rfam family "Bacterial large subunit ribosomal RNA", at positions 210 to 776 of the family's 2925-position model. Lineage: Bacteria; Pseudomonadati; Pseudomonadota; Gammaproteobacteria; Enterobacterales; Morganellaceae. The record is from RNAcentral.